RNAcentral lists this ribosomal RNA (370 nucleotides) under Desmodesmus sp. LBA 105. RNAcentral's name for it is "partial 5.8S ribosomal RNA". The stretch from base 217 to 370 matches the Rfam family "5.8S ribosomal RNA". The record is from RNAcentral. Lineage: Eukaryota; Viridiplantae; Chlorophyta; Chlorophyceae; Sphaeropleales; Scenedesmaceae.
GAGAAGUCGUAACAAGGUUUCCGUAGGUGAACCUGCGGAAGGAUCAUUGAAUAUGCAAACCACAACACGCACUCUUUUAUUUGUGUACCGACGUUAGGUCGAACCACUAACCCUGGUUUGGCCUACUAACCUACACACACACACCAUUGACCAACAAAUUGAUUAAACCAAACUCUGAAGUUUCAGCUGCUGUUAAUCGGCAGUUUUAACGAAAACAACUCUCAACAACGGAUAUCUUGGCUCUCGCAACGAUGAAGAACGCAGCGAAAUGCGAUACGUAGUGUGAAUUGCAGAAUUCCGUGAACCAUCGAAUCUUUGAACGCAUAUUGCGCUCGACUCCUCGGAGAAGAGCAUGUCUGCCUCAGCGUCG